Molecule: long non-coding RNA, 496 nt
Filed under: Hordeum vulgare
Lineage: Eukaryota; Viridiplantae; Streptophyta; Magnoliopsida; Poales; Poaceae
Description: long non-coding RNA (HVUL_LNC010664)
Source: RNAcentral
AAAAGAAUCGAUCGGUCUGCAUUUUUAGAAAACCGAAAUUUUCUAUGACCUGGAAAACCGAACCGAAAGCUUCCGUUAGACCGAAUGCCCAGGGACCAUGACAGGAAUUUUCAUUCGACUUUCUUUUUGUCUAAAGUAAAAGACGUGCCCCUCACACUUUCCUGUCAAUAUUUUUUUUAAUCCUUUAGCGAAAUCUUGAAAAAGCUUUGUAGUGCACCUAGGUGACCCGACCCAAAGCUAGUUUGAAUGAAACUACGGUCACCGUAGUAGAUACAAUGUGAUGAGUGAGGACACAAUUUGGUUAUCUCUCUCUCUCUCUCACACACACACACACACNNACACACACACACACACAAACAUGACACACACACACACACACAAAAACAUGACACGUAGCUAUCAUAAAAUUCCACGCUGAACGAACCUUUCGACUUGUUGGAGAUGAAACUCAGGGCGGUACAAAAGAUCUUGCCCGAGAAUUCUGCAGGCCCUUUUG